Esox lucius (northern pike) is the source of this 479-nucleotide long non-coding RNA. RefSeq lists it as uncharacterized. The record is from RefSeq and is a predicted model, not a curated record. Lineage: Eukaryota; Metazoa; Chordata; Actinopteri; Esociformes; Esocidae. The transcript is spliced from 3 exons.
AGUUGUCUUAACAGUCCUACAUGUACCUACUGAGCUUUCAUUGUUGCCCUGGUUCAGUGGUGGACGUUUGAACUGGAGUUAAAGACAGGAAUCAGCCUACUAACAGCGGGAUAAAAGAAGAGACCUGCACUGCAAUUUCUUCAGUGUUAAAUGCACACAGUGUUGGAGUCAAAAUAAUGCGGUCAAUGCCUCUGUGUGAACUGACUGCCAUUGAAUGCAACUCGACACCUUCCCCUAAAGGAUACACACCAGCGCCCGAUCUGGCCUUGUUUAGGGGCAGAUCAAAGGAGCCCAGGGAAGCUCCUCUGGGCAGCAGCAGGAGAAGGACUGGAAUUAAAAGUUACAAAGGAGAAGAGUGUGACAUUCCAGCUAGCUGCCCUUGUGGCUGCUCUACCCAUGCAGCACAUGAGUAGGAAAACAGCCGUGAGACAAGGAGUCAAGAGUGCCAGAGCUUUGCCCGCUAGUACUCAGAAGGUGCC